GGGGAAUAUUGCACAAUGGAGGAAACUCUGAUGCAGCGACGCCGCGUGAAUGAUGAAGGCCUUCGGGUCGUAAAGUUCUGUCCUUGGGGAAGAUAAUGACGGUACCCAAGGAGGAAGCCCCGGCUAACUACGUGCCAGCAGCCGCGGUAAUACGUAGGGGGCGAGCGUUGUCCGGAAUUAUUGGGCGUAAAGGGUUCGCAGGCGGUCUGAUAAGUCAGAUGUGAAAGGCUAUGGCUUAACCAUAGUAAGCAUUUGAAACUGUCAGACUUGAGUUAAGGAGAGGAAAGUGGAAUUCCUAGUGUAGCGGUGAAAUGCGUAGAUAUUAGGAGGAAUACCAGUGGCGAAGGCGACUUUCUGGACUUAAACUGACGCUGAGGAACGAAAGCGUGGGGAGCAAAC
This 399-nucleotide ribosomal RNA is filed under the name uncultured bacterium. RNAcentral describes it as "bacterial SSU rRNA". It matches the Rfam family "Bacterial small subunit ribosomal RNA", at positions 356 to 773 of the family's 1533-position model. The record is from RNAcentral.